This 440-nucleotide ribosomal RNA is filed under the name uncultured bacterium. Its description in RNAcentral is "partial 16S ribosomal RNA". It matches the Rfam family "Bacterial small subunit ribosomal RNA", at positions 338 to 795 of the family's 1533-position model. The record is from RNAcentral.
CCUACGGGUGGCAGCAGUGGGGAAUAUUGCACAAUGGGGGAAACCCUGAUGCAGCGACGCCGCGUGAGUGAAGAAGUAUUUCGGUAUGUAAAGCUCUAUCAGCAGGGAAGAAAAUGACGGUACCUGACUAAGAAGCCCCGGCUAACUACGUGCCAGCAGCCGCGGUAAUACGUAGGGGGCAAGCGUUAUCCGGAUUUACUGGGUGUAAAGGGGGCGCAGACGGCAAUGCAAGCCAGGAGUGAAAGCCCGGGGCCCAACCCCGGGACUGCUCUUGGAACUGCAUGGCUGGAGUACAGGAGGGGCAGGCGGAAUUCCUAGUGUAGCGGUGAAAUGCGUAGAUAUUAGGAGGAACACCGGUGGCGAAGGCGGCCUGCUGGACUGUGACUGACGUUGAGGCCCGAAGGCGUGGGGAGCAAACAGGAUUAGAUACCCGAGUAGUC